RNAcentral lists this ribosomal RNA (253 nucleotides) under uncultured bacterium. RNAcentral's name for it is "partial 16S ribosomal RNA". It matches the Rfam family "Bacterial small subunit ribosomal RNA", at positions 524 to 776 of the family's 1533-position model. The record is from RNAcentral.
UACCCGCAGCUCAAGUGGUGGUCAUUAUUAUUGGGCGUAAAGCGCGUGUAGGCGGCUUGGCAAGUCAGAUGUGAAAGCCCUCGGCUUAACCGAGGAAGUGCGUCUGAAACUGCUGAGCUUGAGUGUCGGAGAGGAUGGCGGAAUGCUUGGUGUAGAGGUGAAAUUCGUAGAUAUCAAGCGGAACACCGGUGGCGAAGGCGGCCUUCUGGACGAUGACUGACGCUGAAGCGCGAAAGCGUGGGGAGCGAACAGG